CCUACGGGAGGCAGCAGUGAGGAAUAUUGGUCAAUGGACGAGAGUCUGAACCAGCCAAGUAGCGUGAAGGAUGACUGCCCUAUGGGUUGUAAACUUCUUUUAUAUGGGAAUAAAAUGUUCCACGUGUGGGAUUUUGUAUGUACCAUAUGAAUAAGGAUCGGCUAACUCCGUGCCAGCAGCCGCGGUAAUACGGAGGAUCCGAGCGUUAUCCGGAUUUAUUGGGUGUAAAGGGAGCGUAGGUGGAUUGUUAAGUCAGUUGUGAAAGUUUGCGGCUCAACCGUAAAAUUGCAGUUGAAACUGGCAGUCUUGAGUACAGUAGAGGUGGGCGGAAUUCGUGGUGUAGCGGUGAAAUGCUUAGAUAUCACGAAGAACUCCGAUUGCGAAGGCAGUUCACUGGACUGCAACUGACACUGAGGCUCGAAAGUGUGGGUAUCAAACAGGAUUAGAUACCCGGAUAGUC
Molecule: ribosomal RNA, 460 nt
Filed under: uncultured bacterium
Lineage: Bacteria
Description: partial 16S ribosomal RNA
Rfam family: Bacterial small subunit ribosomal RNA
Source: RNAcentral